UACGGGGGGGGCAAGCGUUGUUCGGAAUUACUGGGCGUAAAGGGCUCGUAGGUGGCCAACUAAGUCAGACGUGAAAUCCCUCGGCUUAACCGGGGAACUGCGUCUGAUACUGGAUGGCUAGAGAUUGGGAGAGGGAUGCGGAAUUCCAGGUGUAGCGGUGAAAUGCGUAGAUAUCUGGAGGAACACCGGUGGCGAAGGCGGCUUCCUGGACCGACACUGACGCUGAGGCGCGAAAGCCAGGGGAGCAAACGGG
RNAcentral lists this ribosomal RNA (253 nucleotides) under uncultured bacterium. Its description in RNAcentral is "partial 16S ribosomal RNA". It matches the Rfam family "Bacterial small subunit ribosomal RNA", at positions 524 to 776 of the family's 1533-position model. The record is from RNAcentral.